UACGUAGGGGGCAAGCGUUAUCCGGAUUCACUGGGUGUAAAGGGAGCGUAGACGGCCAUGCAAGCCUGGAGUGAAAGCCCGGGGCCCAACCCCGGGACUGCUCUGGGAACUGUGCGGCUGGAGUGCGGGAGGGGCAGACGGAAUUCCUAGUGUAGCGGUGAAAUGCGUAGAUAUUAGGAGGAACACCAGUGGCGAAGGCGGUCUGCUGGACAGCAACUGACGCUGAGGCGCGAAAGCGUGGGGAGCAAACAGG
This 253-nucleotide ribosomal RNA is filed under the name uncultured bacterium. RNAcentral's name for it is "partial 16S ribosomal RNA". It matches the Rfam family "Bacterial small subunit ribosomal RNA", at positions 524 to 776 of the family's 1533-position model. The record is from RNAcentral.